AGUUUUAUAGUUUAUAAAAAAUUUUAAAUUGCAAAUUUAAAGAAUUUAGGUUAAAUAAAACUU
RNAcentral lists this transfer RNA (63 nucleotides) under Leptopilina syphax. RNAcentral describes it as "tRNA-Cys". The record is from RNAcentral. Lineage: Eukaryota; Metazoa; Arthropoda; Insecta; Hymenoptera; Figitidae.